This is a long non-coding RNA of Papaver somniferum (opium poppy), 784 nucleotides long. RefSeq lists it as uncharacterized. Lineage: Eukaryota; Viridiplantae; Streptophyta; Magnoliopsida; Ranunculales; Papaveraceae. The transcript is spliced from 5 exons. The record is from RefSeq and is a predicted model, not a curated record.
UCGGCAAAACCCUAAGAUGCAGGCGCCUUCUCUUUUCUUUUACUCUCUCAAUCUUUUCCGAAGAAGAAGAAGAAGAGCUAGUUAAUGGAUCUUGAAAGAGAAGAAACAGCGGAAAGAUGCUAAGAACGAAAUUGUAACCAAUCUUCAAGUGAAAGAGGAGGAGAUGCAGACCACGAAAUUUCAAUUUCCAACUAAAGAGGUUGAUAAAGAUUUGGUGGUGGAACUAACUAAAGCCUUAGGAAGACAGGGCAUAGAUUUGCCCUUGUUGCAGCUUUGGUGAAUGAUACAAUUGGUGCAUUAGCAGGAGGCAAAUACUUCAAUAAUGAUGUUACAGUUGCAGUUAUUUUUGGAACUGGAACAAAUGCAGCAUAUGUAAAGGGUGCACAAGACAUUCCUAUGUGGCAUGGUCUCCUACCUAAACAAGGAGAGAUAGACUCCUGAAAUGUCCGUUGGUUGGUCUUUGCAUUCUAGGAACUUCAGGAAAAGACCAGUUGCACUUGCAUAUGUUGAUACUAAGCUGCUAAUUGAUGACAAUUAUGAUCGCAUGGUUGCUGAAACCAUUAAUCCAAGAGCGAUAUUGUGCGAUGUGAUGCAGUGCUUGGGGAUGUUUCAAGAGUGACACGAUUAAGUGCCAAAAGCCUAUAGAGGAUUGAUCACAUUUCUAAUUUUCAAUAUGUAAAAAUAAUUAAUGAAGUUAAUAUUUUAUCCUCCGGUUUGUAUUUAUCUUCUAAUUUGUAUUAGAAUAUUUAUUUUCUUGAAAAAAUAAUUAAUAAAGUUAAUUUUA